This 253-nucleotide ribosomal RNA is filed under the name uncultured bacterium. RNAcentral's name for it is "partial 16S ribosomal RNA". It matches the Rfam family "Bacterial small subunit ribosomal RNA", at positions 524 to 776 of the family's 1533-position model. The record is from RNAcentral.
UACGUAGGGUGCAAGCGUUAAUCGGAAUUACUGGGCGUAAAGCGUGCGCAGGCGGCUUUGCAAGACAGAUGUGAAAUCCCCGGGCUUAACCUGGGAACUGCAUUUGUGACUGCAUGGCUGGAGUGCGGCAGAGGGGGAUGGAAUUCCGCGUGUAGCAGUGAAAUGCGUAGAGAUGUGGCGGAACACCGAUGGCGAAGGCAGCCCCCUGGGCUGAGAUUGACGCUCAGGCACGAAAGCGUGGGGAGCAAACAGG